Molecule: long non-coding RNA, 253 nt
Filed under: Phascolarctos cinereus (koala)
Lineage: Eukaryota; Metazoa; Chordata; Mammalia; Diprotodontia; Phascolarctidae
Description: lncRNA (ENSPCIG00000032989.1)
Source: RNAcentral
CGUUUGAAUGGCAUUUCUUUUUCUGUUCAUUCUAUUUUCCAUCUUGCAGAGCUUCCCUCUUUGCCCCAUUCUUUUUCAGUCCAGCAAACAGGAGAGUCCACAAUCUUCAAAGAGAUCAAAAUCAGUGGCCUGCUGACUUAAGGAAUGCUGGGGAAAGCUUACUCACAAAAUCCAGCCUAAAAGGAAAGGGUAGGUCAAACUUUAAAUACUUUGAUGUCACCUUUAAAAUCCAGAUCUCUUCUAUAUCAGUGCU